UGGUAGAGCAAGGCACGAGCCGAAAUCACUUCUUCUCGUACAGUCGUGGUGAGCGCGAGAAUAGCCCAAGCGAACCGUCUAAGAGUUAGAGUAUUCCGAGCGAAAUCGUAUAUAUCGUAAGAAGGAAAGAAGGCGAACAUUCGAACCAUUCGAAUUACAUUUAGAAAAAUAAAAUAAAAUUAUUGCGAAGAAUGUGAGGAAUGUCGUCGGUGAACGAAGAUUUUCUAAGACCGCUGCCGAGACAAUCGGGAUUUUUUUACUCUACCAAAAAGAAAGUAUGAAUGUAAACAAAAUCAGCGAUAUUUUUCCAAUGGCUAGAAGAAAAUGUUUUUAUCUCAAUUACGGACUCGGCUAAUCAAAAAAUGAGAUUUUCAUUUAAAUACCUGAGAAAAUUCUUUUCCCUUUCAAGAAUAUUUUUUAUUAACCACAAAAUUUUGUAGAAAGAAAAUGAAUUACACAGUUUUGCUAAAGAAUUACAAAAUUAGCUACAAAAAAGAUUCAUGAGUAAAGUUUGUAUGGCUAAUACUUCUCGAAUUAUAUAGUUGGAUACACAAUUUUUAAUUAAAACUGGUGGAAAAUCAUAUAGAGAACCAGUCAUUCGGAAAUAAUUCGUAAAAUAUUGGUUUCCUGAAAAUUCUACAAGGGAACUUUUUCCUAGAAAAUUAAAUUGUCUAUAAAAAACAUUCUAUACAAAGUCAUAAAAUCGAUCUUUUUGGAGAUUUUUGGUGAUUGAUGUUUUUUAACAUAUUAAAAAUGUUAGAAAAUUAAUUUUUCGCAGGUAACUUACGAAAUAUCAAUUUGGAAUUCAAAAUAACUACUCAAUAUAUGUAAGAUAAUUUAUGCAAAUACAUUACGAAUCUUUCUUCUUUAUCUUUUAAAAUGCAUUGUUGAUAUCCAAGUAAUUUUAGAAAGAACUUCGAGAUACAUUAAAGAAUAGAAAUAAAAAUAACUAGAACAAAAUAUAUUGAACAAAUACAACACCCAGAAAAUACUUACAAUAAGCAAUAAAUCAAUACAAAUUUAAUUAGAAUCACGAG
Long non-coding RNA from Hylaeus anthracinus, 1037 nucleotides. RefSeq lists it as uncharacterized. The record is from RefSeq and is a predicted model, not a curated record. The transcript is spliced from 4 exons. Lineage: Eukaryota; Metazoa; Arthropoda; Insecta; Hymenoptera; Colletidae.